GACGCGGAAUAAUAGGAAAACCCGCUCUUAUUCAAAACCACAAAACUAGUCGUAUAUUUAAUAAAGCAGCCGGCAACAAAAACUUUUCCUAUAUAUAUCGCAGAUGCAGGGGCUGGAUAAUGUGUAAACCAGAUAAUUCACGCUCCAUAUGGAAACACGGACAGUUUCAGGACGUGACUAAAAGGGACUAAAAGAGUGAGCGCGUGUUACUCCCUUUCAUCCCUACCGGGGUGGUCGCCGCCGUUUUAGAAAGAUUCUACUUGGUGGUCGCCUAGGUAUUUUGUGACUUGGCAAAAGCCUUUGACUGUGUGUCAUAUGGAAUACUGCUACGGAAACUAGAGGUAGUUACAGCACUGUUCUUCAUCUUAUCAAAAAAGUGAUAUUUACGCAACUGCCUGAGAAGUACCACAGGAGUCUGCGCUUCUAUUCCUUCUGUAUGUCAAUAAUGGUGUUGCUCUUUUGCUGAAAACACAACUUUACUUUGGCAUUAUAUGUUCAGACUGGUCCUUGAAUAGGUGUAAUAAAAUUCAAUGAGGAUUUUAGAUCUGAGCCUUUCUGCGGCAUAAGUAAGAGUUUAUAAGUAUCAUAGCUAAAAAAAUGGAGGAAAAUCUCAGUGGAAUCCGUAACCCCAAAAAGUCUACUUACUAGGCUGUAGUAAGUCUGGGUAAAACAAACCUACGCAUUCUUACAGGAUUCCAGACAAGGCACUAUCACCUUGAGGAACACCAUAGCAGAUUCUGAGGAUAAUGAAACUCCAGAACUCUAAUUAGUGCUUGACAAGCCGUCACUUUAAAUCGCAAAAUCGCACCAUACGUAUGUCACAACUAGGAAUUUCUAGAGAGGGAUAUAUCCGUCCUGAAACCGUCACAGCUACUACCCUUU
Anthonomus grandis grandis is the source of this 882-nucleotide long non-coding RNA. RefSeq lists it as uncharacterized. Lineage: Eukaryota; Metazoa; Arthropoda; Insecta; Coleoptera; Curculionidae. The record is from RefSeq and is a predicted model, not a curated record. The transcript has 3 exons.